GGGGCUGUGGCUCAGUUGGGAGAGCGCUUCCUUCGCACGGAAGAGGUCGUGAGUUCGAAUCUCAUCAGCUCCACCA
This 76-nucleotide transfer RNA is filed under the name Armatimonadota bacterium. RNAcentral describes it as "Armatimonadetes bacterium (hot springs metagenome) tRNA-Ala". It matches the Rfam family "tRNA". Rfam says of the family: Transfer RNA (tRNA) molecules are approximately 80 nucleotides in length. Their secondary structure includes four short double-helical elements and three loops (D, anti-codon, and T loops). The record is from RNAcentral. Lineage: Bacteria; Bacillati; Armatimonadota.